Molecule: ribosomal RNA, 459 nt
Filed under: uncultured bacterium
Lineage: Bacteria
Description: bacterial SSU rRNA
Rfam family: Bacterial small subunit ribosomal RNA
Source: RNAcentral
GAUGAACGUUGGCGGUGUGCCUAAUACAUGCAAGUCGAACGGAGACUGUAGCAAUACUGUCUUAGUGGCGAACGGGUGAGUAACGCGUUGGUGAUCUGCCUCGAAGUGUGGAAUAACCUCCCGAAAGGGAAGCUAAUACCGCAUAGUCUCUCAAGGUUUAGAAAAUUGAGAGUAAAGGAUUUAUUCGCUUCGAGAGGAGCCUGCGUCCCAUCAGCUAGUUGGUAGGGUAACGGCCUACCAAGGCAAUGACGGGUAGGGGACCUGAGAGGGUGGCCCCCCACAAUGGAACUGAAACACGGUCCAUACACCUACGGGUGGCAGCAGUAGGGAAUAUUAGUAAUGGGCGAAAGCCUGAACUAGCAACACCGCGUGUGCGAAGAAGGCCUUCGGGUUGUAAAGCACUUUUCGGGAGGAUGAGGAAGGACGGUACUCCCGGAAUAAGUCUCGGCUAACUACGUG